Long non-coding RNA from Homalodisca vitripennis (glassy-winged sharpshooter), 619 nucleotides. RefSeq lists it as uncharacterized. The transcript has 3 exons. The record is from RefSeq and is a predicted model, not a curated record. NCBI's taxonomy places the organism in Eukaryota, Metazoa, Arthropoda, Insecta, Hemiptera, Cicadellidae.
UAUUUUUAAAAUGGUAACAAAGGAGUAAUCCGUUUUCAAAAUCAAAAGUCAUAUUUUAUUGUAUUCAGUAAAUCCACUAUUGUGCUAUAAGAGUAUGUAUUAUCUCAUGACCUAAAGCUCUAGGUUUGUUCAAUCUUUCCGUCUUUGAGUUUAUUUUAUUGAAUUUGAACUCCACUACAAUGAUAAAUAAUAACAAAUAUAUCAUGUUUGUACUUUACAGUAAUAGUUUUCAUAUCUGCGUUUUUGGAUAUCACUGUAGAUGCGGCUGGUUGUAAAAAGUACAACGAAACAUGUGCUGGUACAUUUGGAGUGAACGAGUGCUGUAAAAGUGAAGACCUUGUCUGCACGGUUCAACGCAAUACAAAGAACACUUAUCGUUGCAGUAUCCAACCCAGUAGUCCUGAAGUGUUUUAAAGGAUUUAGAAGAAUAUUGUCAAUCGCAUGACAUGAAGAAGAGCGGCUUCUGCAGGCGGUCAAAUGGGAUCGCGGAGAUCAUCAACUGGCCUUUUGUCAUCGCUCUCGUCAUCUGCCUUUGACACCGGAUUUGUCUUGCGGUUUUGCUAUACCUUUGUGCACAGGCUAUACAAGAAAACAAUUAAUCUUUUUACAGUUCAUGUUA